GUGGGGAAUAUUGCGCAAUGGGCGAAAGCCUGACGCAGCGACGCCGCGUGAGGGAUGAAGGUUUUCGGAUCGUAAACCUCUGUCAGAAGGGAAGAAACUACAUUGUGCUAAUCAGCAGUGUACUGACGGUACCUUCAAAGGAAGCACCGGCUAACUCCGUGCCAGCAGCCGCGGUAAUACGGAGGGUGCAAGCGUUAAUCGGAAUUACUGGGCGUAAAGCGCACGUAGGCUGUAGUGUAAGUCAGGGGUGAAAUCCCACGGCUCAACCGUGGAACUGCCUUUGAUACUGCACAACUUGAAUCCGGGAGAGGGUGGCGGAAUUCCAGGUGUAGGAGUGAAAUCCGUAGAUAUCUGGAGGAACAUCAGUGGCGAAGGCGGCCACCUGGACCGGUAUUGACGCUGAGGCGCGAAAGCGUGGGGAGCAAACAGGAUUAGAAACCCCUGUAGUCC
This 450-nucleotide ribosomal RNA is filed under the name uncultured bacterium. Its description in RNAcentral is "partial 16S ribosomal RNA". It matches the Rfam family "Bacterial small subunit ribosomal RNA", at positions 354 to 796 of the family's 1533-position model. The record is from RNAcentral.